UCGUCGUUUGCCUUCGAGGGCAUUUUGUUAAGACGAAGAAGAAUUGACCCUGAAAGUAUGUUUUUAUAAAGAACGAUUGAAAACAAACACACGCAACCAUGCGCACGCACGCGCACACACGCACACACACUAACCCAAGCGCGUGCACACACACACGCGCACACACAUAAGCGCGCACACGUCUUGAGAUUGAGCUGCUCUUUUAAAUCCACCUGUCCAGGUCUGCUCGCGCUCUCGCUUGCGGGCUGCUGAUUGGUCGGCUGAGAGAGGAAACCCCGUGCUCUCCGGCUCCAGAACAAAAGCCUCUUCAUCCUCAUCCUCUCCGAACUGCUAGGCGACCUCAGUCUUCCUCUCGUCACGGGACGGAUUACCGCGAGGGCUCCGCGUCUCCGGGUUAGCGCGCGCCUGCACCUCGUCUCCUCCGUCCUCCUCCUCCUCCUCCAUGGAGAUAAACACACUCCGCGACCCCCGCUGCUGAAGCCAUCCCUCCCCUCACCCAUCUCCUCCUCCAACCGUCUCCUCCUCCACCCAUCUCCUCCUCCACCCUGCGCUCAAGCGGAAGCCCUCAGACACAUCUGGAGACGAGGCGCCAUGUGGUGAUGCCGCUCCGCCGCGCGCCGCGUCUCCCCACGGCGCCCUGACCGCCGCUCUCCCGCACCUCGUCGCGCGCCUCCCCCGAUGUGUUUGGUCGGCGCGGCGCUCGUGGGAAGCCAGCCGUCCUUCGCCCUCUCCACCAUGUUCACGUUCGCCGCCUUCUGCUACAUGCUGUCGCUCGUGCUGUGCGCCUCGCUCAUCUUCUUCGCGAUCUGGCACAUCACUGCGUUCGAGGAGCUCCAGGCCGACUUCAAGGUGCCGAUCGAUCAGGGAAACCCACUCCACGCGAGAGAGAGGCUUCGCAAUAUUGAGCGCAUCUGCAACCUGCUGAGAAAGCUGGUUCUCCCAGAGUACUCCAUCCACGGUCUGUUCUGCAUCAUGUUCCUGUGCGCCCAGGAGUGGCUGACGGUCGGCCUGAACAUCCCUCUGCUGUUCUACAACACCUGGAGCCGGUACUUCCACAGCCCGACCGACACCAAGGAGCUCCUCUACGACCCGGCCUCGGUCAUGAACGGGGACACCCUCAAGUUCUGCCUGAAGGAGGCCUGGUGCAAGCUGUCCUUCUUCGUCCUCUCCUUCUUCUACUAUCUCUACUGUGUUUGGAACCUGGAUAUUUCCCUGUAAUAAGUCUUAAGGAAACAUUAAAGCUCCUACUGGGCCGGUCCGGAGGGCUCGGACUCUGCCGGUGUCAGCAGCAGCAUAUGAUCUACUCUCUGGUCACCUCUUAGCCAAUCAACCGUCAGAACCUCUUAGCCAAUCAGCUGUCGGGUCCAGGAGGGAGGAGGAUGAAGGCACCUCCGGAGCCACUCUUCACCUUGACUGUUCCAGGGACUAAAGACUCUUUGGGAGGGACAGAGAUCAAACUAACUAUUUUUUUGCUGUGAAGCCAAAUAACAAUGAGCCAAUGAGGAGGGGUUCGGCCCCGGCCCCGCCCCCUUUGCCCUCAGUGCGCUGGAUAUUAAUUCUGCAUAUAUCCUGUACAUACUCAGCCAACUACUGUUUACAGCUGGACUGGUUGCUAGGAGAACACAACCACGUCAAUCACUGCCGGGCCGAUGUUUGUACCGCUAAUUCGCCACCUCCUCCCGCUCCCGGAGCCUUCCGGAACGUUCAGCGCUACCGCGUCUGUAACUGUAGCAACAGCAGUCCCCCCCCCCCCCCCCCGGAUGAAGGUCAUUGGCCAUGGUUGUCUCAGGCACAGCGCGAUGAAGCACGUUCUGUUGCCGGGACGAUUAUACAGUUUGUUUGUACGAUACGAUUGUACGAUUUGAUUGGACGGUGCAAUCGUAUACAAUGUGACGGUGAUAUCGUAUAAUACUAUCUUAGGAUCCGAUUAAACGGAAUGAUUGGGCGGUACGACAUAAGAUCGUAGGAAACGAGCGCACAACACAUUUGAAUGGUACGAUCACGAUUGGUAUUUUUACAAUUCGGUCUAACGGCACGAUCUACUAGUGCGAUCGCCGCGUAUCAUUGGUCCGUACGAUCGUACGAUCUUCUAGUACAAUCGUCCCGUAUCAUUGGUCCGUACGAUCGUACUAUCUUCUAGUGCAAUCGUCCCGUAUCAUUGGUCCGUACGAUCGUACUAUCUUCUAGUGCAAUCGUCCCGUAUCAUUGGUCCGUACGAUCGUACUUUCUUCUAGUGCAAUCGUCCCGUAUCAUUGGUCCGUACGAUCGUACUAUCUUCUAGUGCAAUCGUCCCGUAUCAUUGGUCCGUACGAUCGUACGAUCUUCUAGUGCAAUCGUCCCGUAUCAUUGGUCCGUACGAUCGUACUAUCUUCUAGUGCAAUCGUCCCGUAUCAUUGGUCCGUACGAUCGUACUAUCUUCUAGUGCAAUCGUCCCGUAUCAUUGGUCCGUACGAUCGUACUUUCUUCUAGUGCAAUCGUCCCGUAUCAUUGGUCCGUACGAUCGUACUAUCUUCUAGUGCAAUCGUCCCGUAUCAUUGGUCCGUACGAUCGUACUUUCUUCUAGUGCAAUCGUCCCGUAUCAUUGGUCCGUACGAUCGUACUAUCUUCUAGUGCAAUCGUCCCGUAUCAUUGGUCCGUACGAUCGUACUAUCUUCUAGUGCAAUCGUCCCGUAUCAUUGGUCCGUACAAUCGUACUAUCUUCUAGUGCAAUCGUCCCGUAUCAUUGGUCCGUAGGAUCGUACUAUCUUCUAGUACAAUCGUCCCGUAUCAUUGGUCCGUACGAUCGUACUUUCUUCUAGUGCAAUCGUCCCGUAUCAUUGGUCCGUACGAUCAUACGAUCCUCGGCAACAGAACCCAUAACUCAGUCCCUCCUUCAUCUCAUGUAGAACAGUAAUCGUAGCAACUCUAGAGUUGGUAUCCAGGGAUCAGACGGAGGAAACUGAACUGCGAGAGGAAGGCUUUGUAGCAGCGAGGUGAAUGUUUUAUUUCUUUCUUUACAUUUCCUUCCAUAGCACUUCCAGCCCAUGGCCUGGUUGUUUUCUACGUGUGGACAUGUGAACAUUAACAUGUGAAUGGCUUUUGGUGACGCGUGUACUUUGGUGUAUUCUUAAACAAAAAGCAUUUCUUAUCGAACUUGAAAAAAGCACAUAGCAAAGUAUUUCUCUGUGUUGUCUGGUGUUGUUCUGCAGUGAAACGUUUUUUUAAUUACCAAUCUGAAAUACUGUCAUAUAGCUUAACAUUUGGACAUUUAUAUAUGUUCACAUGUUUAUAUAUAGGUUUAUAUAUAUAUAUAUAUAUAUAUAUAUAUAUAUAUAUAUAUAUAUAUAUAUAUAUAGAUAAAACAUUGUUUUUCUAGAGGAGGAGCACAUGCUCUUUGCAAAGAUAGCGUCUAUCAAAAGUGUCAAGGAUCUGGCUACGAUAGGCUAGGCUAAAAUUCGUUAGCCUAGCCUAGCCUAUUGGAACAGGUGAUGGUCUUCCAGCUCACUGACGCCCAGGAACCGUACCAGGGGAACUUUUCUAUCUCCAUAACUGACCAAAAUAUGUGAACUUGUUAUAUCUUUAGAAUGACUUCCUUCAUGUACAGUAGAAUGACUUCCUUCAUGUACAAACUAUUCGUUGAGAUGUUGACUGUUUGCGUUUUCUGCUCAAUCCUAAAACGCGAAUCAGUGUUACCAAUCUGCAAUAAAAAAUGUAUAACUCAAAAAAAUAAAUAUGAAUAUACAAAUAUAUAUAUAUAAGUAAAAUGAGAUAUGUCACGUAGGUUAAAUCUGUCACUUUCUACCACUCUUAGAACGAAAGUGUAGCACAUGCUGCCGAUGCCUUUGAACCUCUGAAAGGCGGGCUGUUCGUCGGCACAAUUCCUCUCUGAUCUCGUAUUAUUCGGGACGAGAAUCACGAUGACACUAGAGGUGGACACACGGCCUAGCCCUCACCCUGACCCCGACACGCCCCCUGACACGCCCCCUUGACCCUGACACGCCCCCUGACCCAACACGCCCCCUGACCUCCGACCUGGGGGUCAGCUGCCCUGUAGCACCCACUGAGCUGGUUGGGAUCCUGGCUCAUGGGCCCGUCGGCAAAACGCACGCAGGGAGCAGAACUGAUUUAUGGAACAUUCGAACUGGUGGAGUCUAACUGGUGGAGUCUAACUGGUGGAGUCUAACUGGUGGAGUCUAACUGGUGGAGUCUAACUGGUGGAGAGUAACUGGUAGAGUCUAACUGGUGGAGUCUAACUGGUGGAGUCUAACUGGUGGAGUCUGGAGUCUAACUGGUGGAGUCUAACUGGUAGAGAGUAACUGGUGGAGUCUGGAGUCUAACUGGUGGAGUCUAACUGGUGGAGUCUAACUGGGAAAGUCUAACUGGAAGAGUAUAACUGGUAAAGUCUAACUGAUAGUUACUCGGAGAGAGUAACUGGUAGAGUCUAACUGGUAGAGUUACUCGGAGAGAGUAACUGGAAGAGUCUAACUGGCAAAGAGUAACUGGUGAAGAGUAACUGGGAGAGAGUAACUGGGAGAGAGUAACUGCUAUGGCGUUUAACUGGUAGAGACUUACUGGGAGUGAUUCUAACUGGUAGAGUCUAACUGGUAGAGAGUAACUACGAGAGUCUUACUGGUGGAGAGUAACUGGUAGAGAGUAACUAGGAGAGUCUUACUGGUGGAGAGUAACUGGUAGAGAGUAACUAGGAGAGUCUUACUGGUGGAGAGUAACUGGUAGACUAUCUUGUAGAGACUUACUGGUAGAAUAUUAUGGUGAUUGUCUCUAACCAACGCGCUUCCAGGUGUUCUGGUGUUUUGGUCUGUAAUCAAAUCAGUUCUGCUGUUUAACUUAAUUAAUAUUUAAACAAAAAAAUAUUUUAUAUCUACUGUGUAACUGAGCUAAAUUUACAUAUUCUUGUUUAUGAAAUAAAAUAUGAUUGGUUAAAAAACCUUGUC
Molecule: RNA transcript, 4931 nt
Organism: Gadus morhua (Atlantic cod)
Lineage: Eukaryota; Metazoa; Chordata; Actinopteri; Gadiformes; Gadidae
Gene: cnih3
Gene name: cornichon family AMPA receptor auxiliary protein 3
Exons: 8
Source: RefSeq, a predicted model, not a curated record